This 395-nucleotide ribosomal RNA is filed under the name Acanthamoeba sp. RNAcentral's name for it is "SSU rRNA". It matches the Rfam family "Eukaryotic small subunit ribosomal RNA", at positions 762 to 1116 of the family's 1831-position model. Lineage: Eukaryota; Discosea; Longamoebia; Acanthamoebidae. The record is from RNAcentral.
AAAAUUAGAGUGUUCAAAGCAGGCAGAUCCAAUUUUCUGCCACCGAAUACAUUAGCAUGGGAUAAUGGAAUAGGACCCUGUCCUCCUAUUUUCAGUUGGUUUUGGCAGCGCGAGGACUAGGGUAAUGAUUAAUAGGGAUAGUUGGGGGCAUUAAUAUUUAAUUGUCAGAGGUGAAAUUCUUGGAUUUAUGAAAGAUUAACUUCUGCGAAAGCAUCUGCCAAGGAUGUUUUCAUUAAUCAAGAACGAAAGUUAGGGGAUCGAAGACGAUCAGAUACCGUCGUAGUCUUAACCAUAAACGAUGCCGACCAGCGAUUAGGAGACGUUGAAUACAAAACACCACCAUCGGCGCGGUCGUCCUUGGCGUCGGUCUUUCGGGGCCGGCGCGGGGACGGCUU